CCCUUAGAUGUCCUGGGCCGCACGCGCGCUACACUGAGUGUCUGAGAUACGAGUCUGCCUGGUCCGGCAAGGUCUAGGUAAUCGCUAAAAGACACAUCAUGCUUGGGAUAGAUUAUUGCAAUUGUUAAUCUUGAACGAGGAAUUCCUAGUAAACGCGAGUCAUCAGCUCGCAUUGAUUACGUCCCUGCCCUUUGUACACACCGCCCGUCGCACCUACCGAUUGAAUGGUUCGGUGAAGAUCUCGGACUUCGAUAUUUAUUCUUUAUUGAGUUUAUAUUGUGGGAAGUUAUCUAAACCUCAUCAUUUAGAGGAAGGUGAAGUCGUAACA
Molecule: ribosomal RNA, 328 nt
Filed under: uncultured eukaryote
Lineage: Eukaryota
Description: partial 18S ribosomal RNA
Rfam family: Eukaryotic small subunit ribosomal RNA
Source: RNAcentral